CCCCACUGCUAUCGGGAUGGGACUAAGACAUGCUAGUCGAGCGUCUCCAAGCUAUGGAAGAGACGCGGCACACAGCUCAGUAACACGUGGCUAACCUGCCCUUGGGACAAGGACAACUCCGGGAAACUGGGGCUAAUCCCUGAUAAGUGAGAACUCCUGGAAUGGAUUCUCGCUCAAAGGACGUUUAGACCAUGCUUCUAGGCGUCGCCCAAGGAGGGGGCCGCGACCGAUCAGGUUGUUGGUGAGGUAACGGCUCACCAAGCCUUUAACCGGUACGGGCCGUGAGAGCGGAAGCCCGGAGAUGGGCACUGAGACAAGGGCCCAGGCCCUACGGGGCGCAGCAGUCGCGAAAACUCCGCAAUACACGAAAGUGUGACGGGGCCAUCCCGAGUGCCAUCCGCUGAGGAUGGCUUUUCCCCAGUGUAUAAAGCUGGGGGAAUAAGGAGAGGGCAAGCCUGGUGUCAGCCGCCGCGGUAAUACCAGCUCUCCGAGUGGUGGGGAUGUUUAUUGGGCCUAAAGCAUUCGUAGCCUGCUUGGCAAGUCCUCCGUUAAAUCCAACGAUUCAAUCGUUGGGCUGCGGGGGAUACUGUCCGGCUAGGGGGCGGGAGAGGCCGACGGUAUCCCCGGGGUAGGGGUGAAAUCCUAUAAUCCCGGGAGGACCACCAGUGGCGAAGGCUGUCGGCUAGAACGCGCUCGACGGUGAGGGAUGAAAGCUGGGGGAGCGAACCGGAUUAGAUACCCGGGUAGUCCCAGCUGUAAACGAUGCAGGCUAGGUGUUGGCGCGGCUACGUGCCGCUCCAGUGCCGCAGGGAAGCCGUUAAGCCUGCCGCCUGGGAAGUACGGCCGCAAGGCUGAAACUUAAAGGAAUUGGCGGGGGAGCACCACAAGGUGUGAAGCUUGCGGUUU
This 906-nucleotide ribosomal RNA is filed under the name uncultured archaeon. RNAcentral describes it as "bacterial SSU rRNA". It matches the Rfam family "Archaeal small subunit ribosomal RNA", at positions 21 to 903 of the family's 1478-position model. The record is from RNAcentral.